UCACUGGACUGAGAGGAGUAUCUGAGAAGCUGACGCUCUCCUCUUUGUCUCCGGUGAAG
This is a microRNA precursor of Astatotilapia calliptera (eastern happy), 59 nucleotides long. The record is from Ensembl. NCBI's taxonomy places the organism in Eukaryota, Metazoa, Chordata, Actinopteri, Cichliformes, Cichlidae.